RNAcentral lists this transfer RNA (73 nucleotides) under bacterium. RNAcentral's name for it is "tRNA-Asn". It matches the Rfam family "tRNA". Rfam says of the family: Transfer RNA (tRNA) molecules are approximately 80 nucleotides in length. Their secondary structure includes four short double-helical elements and three loops (D, anti-codon, and T loops). RNAcentral also lists the same sequence under 4 other names. The record is from RNAcentral.
UCCCCGAUAGCUCAGUUGGUAGAGCGGCGAGCUGUUAACUCGCAUGUCACUGGUUCGAGUCCAGUUCGGGGAG